This 770-nucleotide ribosomal RNA is filed under the name Microbacterium sp. DWR49. RNAcentral describes it as "bacterial SSU rRNA". It matches the Rfam family "Bacterial small subunit ribosomal RNA", at positions 111 to 893 of the family's 1533-position model. Lineage: Bacteria; Bacillati; Actinomycetota; Actinomycetes; Micrococcales; Microbacteriaceae. The record is from RNAcentral.
UAACACGUGAGCAACCUGCCNUGGACUCUGGGAUAAGCGCUGGAAACGGCGUCUAAUACUGGAUAUGAGCUCUCAUCGCAUGGUGGGGGUUGGAAAGUUUUUUCGGUCUGGGAUGGGCUCGCGGCCUAUCAGCUUGUUGGUGAGGUAAUGGCUCACCAAGGCGUCGACGGGUAGCCGGCCUGAGAGGGUGACCGGCCACACUGGGACUGAGACACGGCCCAGACUCCUACGGGAGGCAGCAGUGGGGAAUAUUGCACAAUGGGCGGAAGCCUGAUGCAGCAACGCCGCGUGAGGGAUGACGGCCUUCGGGUUGUAAACCUCUUUUAGCAGGGAAGAAGCGAGAGUGACGGUACCUGCAGAAAAAGCGCCGGCUAACUACGUGCCAGCAGCCGCGGUAAUACGUAGGGCGCAAGCGUUAUCCGGAAUUAUUGGGCGUAAAGAGCUCGUAGGCGGUUUGUCGCGUCUGCUGUGAAAUCCCGAGGCUCAACCUCGGGCCUGCAGUGGGUACGGGCAGACUAGAGUGCGGUAGGGGAGAUUGGAAUUCCUGGUGUAGCGGUGGAAUGCGCAGAUAUCAGGAGGAACACCGAUGGCGAAGGCAGAUCUCUGGGCCGUAACUGACGCUGAGGAGCGAAAGGGUGGGGAGCAAACAGGCUUAGAUACCCUGGUAGUCCACCCCGUAAACGUUGGGAACUAGUUGUGGGGACCAUUCCACGGUUUCCGUGACGCAGCUAACGCAUUAAGUUCCCCGCCUGGGGAGUACGGCCGCAAGG